AACAGCAUAUUACUCCGAGCCCGGUAACCUAAAGGAUAUCUCUCCAAGAUUUCCGGGCCUUAGGGUUCGCCUGGAAACGGACGAGCCUCCCAUUGUGGAAAGGAGACUUCACCGGAUAAAG
RNAcentral lists this non-coding RNA (121 nucleotides) under Desulfoscipio gibsoniae. RNAcentral describes it as "Desulfotomaculum gibsoniae MoCo sequence". It matches the Rfam family "Molybdenum/Tungsten riboswitch aptamer (Moco RNA motif)". RNAcentral also lists the same sequence under 1 other name. The record is from RNAcentral. Lineage: Bacteria; Bacillati; Bacillota; Clostridia; Eubacteriales; Desulfallaceae.